This 1300-nucleotide long non-coding RNA is filed under the name Zonotrichia albicollis (white-throated sparrow). RNAcentral's name for it is "lncRNA (ENSZALG00000003345.1)". The record is from RNAcentral. Lineage: Eukaryota; Metazoa; Chordata; Aves; Passeriformes; Passerellidae.
CAUUUCUGAGGAAUUCAGCAGCGUUCCCUGGGAUGGUGGUGCCUUGCUUUGGCUCUCCAGCUGCUCCCCAGUGGAUGGAAAUGCUCCUGUGUGAGGAUGAGAGGCAGCGCUCCCAGAACACUGAGGAACAACAGGGGGCUGCACACAGAAAGGAGAUUUCAUCAUCUUCCAUCUGCAGCCCUUUAAUAUCAAGAGACUUCCACAAAACUUGAAAUGAGUCUUUGAAAUGUUCCGUGCUGUGGAGGUAGAAAGCAUUUACAGGAUCUAAUGAGGAGUCAUUGUGCUCAGCACUGUGCACCUGCUGAACAAGGGAAUAAAGAGCUAAUGAAUGGAUGGACUGUGGAGAUCCAGAUUUAUGCAACAAGCAGCAAGGCUUUCUGUGCAAACUCUUUGUGGAGUUGUUGGUUCAGGAAUAAACAACCUUGCUUAGGAGCAGAACAGUUUUACUCAUCAAUUUAUUAAUAAAGAUUUUUAUGACAGCUGCUUGCCCAAAAAGCUGUUCAGUGACGGGUUUAAUUUGCCAUCUGGGACUGGAGUGCCCUGAAUUCUUUGGCUUUUAGCCACUUUCACUCCUGUUAAAAGGAGACACAUCCCUGGGCUUUCCAGGUGAUCCCAUGGUGAGUUUGACUUUAUCCUCUGAACCAAAGAGGAGUUUUAUUUUAGAGAGAAAUGAAGACAUGCAUGAUGUUAGAUCUGUGAAUUUAUGAUUUUGUAUCUAGCUCUCAGCAAAUCCAGUGCUGGUGAGGUUCUUGUCCAGAGGAGGUUUGGACAUCCAGCAUUCCUUGGUGGCCUUUGUCCUUUAUCCUGAGCUCAAAUUGAAGUGGGGAAGGCUCAGCCCAAGCUUGCUGUGCUGUUAUGGGUUUGAGAAAGUACUGAAACAUCCAGUUUUUGACAGCAUCUUGCCAGCUACUUGAAUUUGAAACAUGAGAAAAGUCUCUGGAGCAUACAGGAAGAGUGAUGACAGUCAGAAGGAAAUGGAUUGUGUAUUGUUGAAAAACAAGACCUAUCCAAACAUGCAAGAGAAAUGGAAGGAUGAGAUGGAUGAACAUUCCUGGCUGUGUUUCCUGCAGACCUUGCUCUCCCCUGCACCUUCGUGGCACAGACAAAUCUUCAGCUCACAGAAUGGGGACAAUUAGAAGGGAAGAAGUUUUUAUGGUUUGACUCAGAGACUUUCAUUGUGGUUUAUUGGAGAGUUAGAAGCAUCAGCCUCUCAGAAGUUAAUGACCUGCCUGAAAUAAUGGGGAUUUUAGAAGAUGGAAUGUUACUAAAUUAAUAAAUAUAAUAAAUAUUAACUAUUUCA